This 869-nucleotide ribosomal RNA is filed under the name Bacidina egenula. Its description in RNAcentral is "eukaryotic LSU rRNA". The stretch from base 420 to 573 matches the Rfam family "5.8S ribosomal RNA". The record is from RNAcentral. Lineage: Eukaryota; Fungi; Ascomycota; Lecanoromycetes; Lecanorales; Ramalinaceae.
CCUCGCAGCCAUCAGUUGAUGGUUCACAGGCUAACUAACGGUGGGCCAAGUUCGUCAAAUUAUCGAACUUCGUCUCAGACAUAGUCGGAUCCCCGAAUUCAUUCGGGGUUGCUUUGGUGUAAGGCGCAGCACCUACCCAAACUCGAUAGCUAUGGCGGAGGAAGGCGUGAGUUCGCUCCUUCCUUCCCCGUCAUCCAACUGUUCCGUAGGUGAACCUGCGGAAGGAUCAUUACAGAGAGGGGCUUCGUGCCCCAGGGGGUUCGCCCCCGCCUCUCCACCUUGUGAAAAUCAUACCUAUGUUGCUUUGGCGGGCCUUGAGGUCAUGCUCAUGCAGGGCUUCAGCCCGGCGAGUGUCCGCCAAAAGCCUACCUAAAACUCGUUUAAUCUAUGCGGUCAGAAUCUAUAUGUAAAUAAAGCAAAACUUUCAACAACGGAUCUCUUGGUUCUGGCAUCGAUGAAGAACGCAGCGAAAUGCGAUAAGUAAUGUGAAUUGCAGAAUUCAGUGAAUCAUCGAAUCUUUGAACGCACAUUGCGCCCCUCGGUAGUCCGGGGGGCAUACCUGUUCGAGCGUCAUUACACCUCUCAAGCGUAGCUUGGUAUUGGGCCUCGCUCCCUCACAAGGGCGUGCCUGAAAAAUAGUGGCGGUCCGGCGAGGCUUUAAACGUAGUAAAUUUCGUUUCGUUCUGAAGGCUCUCGUCGUGGCUUGCCAGAAGUAUUCACACUUUGUUCAAGAAUCGACCUCGGAUCAGGUAGGGAUACCCGCUGAACUUAAGCAUAUCAAUAAGCGGAGGAAAAGAAACCAACAGGGAUUGCCUCAUUAACGGCGAGUGAAGGGCAACAGCUCAAAUUUGAAUCUGGCUCCCAUCGGG